This 185-nucleotide ribosomal RNA is filed under the name uncultured bacterium. RNAcentral's name for it is "partial 16S ribosomal RNA". It matches the Rfam family "Bacterial small subunit ribosomal RNA", at positions 1315 to 1500 of the family's 1533-position model. The record is from RNAcentral.
CCUGCAUGAAGUCGGAAUUGCUAGUAAUCGCGGAUCAGCAUGCCGCGGUGAAUACGUUCCCGGGCCUUGUACACACCGCCCGUCACACCAUGGGAGCCGGUAAUACCCGAAGUCAGUAGUCCAACCUCGUGAGGACGCUGCCGAAGGUAGGAUUGGCGACUGGGGUGAAGUCGUAACAAGGUAGC